AGUGAACGCUGGCGGUAGGCCUAACACAUGCAAGUCGAACGGCCGCACAGUAAGAGCUUGCUCUUACGGGUGGCGAGUGGCGGACGGGUGAGGAAUACAUCGGAAUCUACUUUUUCGUGGGGGAUAACGUAGGGAAACUUACGCUAAUACCGCAUACGACCUACGGGUGAAAGCAGGGGAUCUUCGGACCUUGCGCGAUUGAAUGAGCCGGUGUCGGAUUAGCUAGUUGGCGGGGUAAAGGCCCACCAAGGCGACGAUCCGUAGCUGGUCUGAGAGGAUGAUCAGCCACACUGGAACUGAGACACGGUCCAGACUCCUACGGGAGGCAGCAGUGGGGAAUAUUGGACAAUGGGCGCAAGCCUGAUCCAGCCAUACCGCGUGGGUGAAGAAGGCCUUCGGGUUGUAAAGCCCUUUUGUUGGGAAAGAAAAGCAGCAGGUUAAUACCCCGCUGUUCUGACGGUACCCAAAGAAUAAGCACCGGCUAACUUCGUG
Molecule: ribosomal RNA, 492 nt
Filed under: uncultured bacterium
Lineage: Bacteria
Description: partial 16S ribosomal RNA
Rfam family: Bacterial small subunit ribosomal RNA
Source: RNAcentral